RNAcentral lists this long non-coding RNA (16087 nucleotides) under Gallus gallus (chicken). Its description in RNAcentral is "lncRNA (ENSGALG00010020663.1)". The record is from RNAcentral. Lineage: Eukaryota; Metazoa; Chordata; Aves; Galliformes; Phasianidae.
ACAUAUAAAAGGGGUGGCGUGGGGGUGGGGAUGGCGGGACAAUAGCCCAUGAGGGAUUUGGCAGGAGACGUGCAAUAUUUACCGAGAUAGACCAUCCUUGCUGUCAUUUUGUUGGUGGAUUACGAUGGCCGUUUUCCCCGCGUUCCUCCAUUUAUUUAUUUUUCCGAUGGCGGGGGGGACGCGUUGGCACGCCGCUGCUUUGUGUGCCUUGCUUCACCUAUGAAAAGGACACAUUAAGGUGUUUCCAUAAACCCCUGGAUGACAAAGAGAGCGCCUUUCUGCUCGGCUUGUAGGCAACAAUGACAGAAGCCUUUAAAACCAUGAUUUUCAAACCCCCCCCCCCCCCCCCCCCCCCCCCAAUGAUUGCAGAAGGCUUCCCCUAAAAGGAACUUAAAUACAUAUCAUUAAAUCUAAAGCACUAAGCUCUGCUCCUGCUAACUAUGCCAUGCUUUUUGUUUCUGAUAGUAUUUGUCCAUUGCGGAGCGUGAGCGAAGGAUGCGGAGCCUCCCCCGCCUUCCUCCCUUUGUUUAAAUGACAAAAUGUUUCAGUGUUUUUGUUUAGAAAAUAAACCUUGGUGGGUUGAUUCCCCCCCCUCCCCCCCCCCCCCCCCAGCUUUUUAUUUUUAUUUUGCAUUUAUCUUGGCGUGAAAUCCAGGCUCCUCCUCUUCCCAGAUCUUGGGAAUCCAUGUUCCUCGUGAUCGCUUUUCCCUCCUUUAUCUAAAACACAAUGUGAUUUUAUAGUAUUACUCCGAAAACAUACCAAUAAUAUUUUGAAUUUCAGUAUUUGCGGCUUCAGGAUAUUGCAAUUUUUUUUUUUUUUUUUUUAUAAGCGACGAAUGAAAAGCGAUGAUUUAAGUGUGUAAUGCACAAUACAGAUGCCAUGCAUUGUAAAUACAUUUCAGGGGCAUAAAAUCCAACACACAGAGCCGGUGUUCCACGAAAGCCGGGAGUCCAAAAAUAACUGUAAAAAUGAAUUGUCUGUCAGGAUGAAUCUCUCAGAUCCUAGCCGAUGUUUGUGGGGUUACCGGAUACAACUGGGUUACUUAUUGGCAUAAAUAUCUCAUUUUAAAAUGCUGAUGACAAACUAUAAAAAAAAAAAAGAGGUGAAGGAGGUAUUUGACUGAUUAUUGGAUACCGUGGAUUCCCCGCAUUUAAUUUCAUACUUACAUGCUAUUUGCUUAUCCCAUGUUUAUGGGUAUGCGCUUUAGCUUCGUAUAAAUCUCUCCUGUCUGUCUGUCUCGCCGUGUUCUUUUCUCUCCUGGUAUCCCAUCUGCUUCUCAUGGUCCUUCUCCUGAAACUACAUCGCAGGAUCCGAUGGGGAUAAUGGGAAUCCGCCUCUGGUCUCUAUCAUAAACAUGCCAACGUGGGCUAUUGUGUCAGGAGCCGGCGAUCACCAGAUGGUGCUUGGUUGCCCAGGGUCUGUGUCACUGGGUUUGGUCUCUCUGUAAGCCAACAAGCCCUGUAGUGUUGUAUCCCCCCAAGAUCUACCCACUCUAGUUAGAGACUGUGUAGGGACGUUGGGUGAUGUACCCAGAGAGGAGAUGCUUCUGGGAGCGUUUGGCUCUUUGCAGAUAUGAGCUGAGAUUUGUUAAUUCCUGUGCUCAGCUGUGUUCACCCUGUCUGCAUUCGUGGGUAGGAAAAUUAGCCUGUUUGCUUUUGUAGGACUAAAUGCUGUCCUCAUGCAGGAAAAAAAAAAAAAGGGGGGGGGUCCGUGCCUGCUUGAGCAGACAUCUCCCCUUGCUGUAUGCACCAGGCUUGGGAAGACAGCACAGAGAUACCUCUGUAUCAAUGGGGUGCGGACAAAAUCAAGAUAUCUCCUCUCUCUUGGGCUGCCAGACAGCUCUUGAGCGUUCGCAGAAGGACCCGCUUGUGUGGGUAUUGUGGAGAACAGCUGAGGUGUGGGACUUGCCCCAUGAAAAAAUCCUCAGCGGGUCCAGCCAGGAGAAACUCAGGGCCAAAUCCGGCUCUUCAUUUGGUGCCUGCAUGUCCUCGUGAGGUCCUGGAUGUUGCUGCGCAUGUGAGCUGCAGAGUGGAAAUUAAUGCAGAAAUAAAGAUUGAAAAUAAAAACACUGAACACAGACAGAUGGAGAGAGCCUGGCAUAAUUACAUUUAGUGGAGGGCCGCCAUGAAUGAAACCAAUUAAAGGAGAAGCGAUGCUUGUAUGAGGGAGAGGGGGGGAAGACCUCUCUGUAUCUUCUCAGGCAUCCGCCGUCCGGUGGGGGUGAGUCCCUGAGUCAUGGGCGAGCUUCUGCAUGCUUAGCGGGACUUUGCUUAUCUGCUAGGGUGAAAAAGAAGGAAAUGGGAAAUGUAGGACGCUGGCAGGGCAGGAGCUGGCUUGCAGCCAGCCCCAGCCUCAUGGUCCCCAUUGUCUCAUGGCUUUAAUGCGUGCCUAGAAAUCCAGUAUUUAGGAUUCAGGUUGCCAUUGUAAAGAAGAAAGGUCGUGCUCAGCGCCGCUUGGCGUGGAUUCCUCAGGCAGCUCUUUUGCCUGCGUGCCCUGCGCUGGGGCUGGCUUGGCAGAAAAGCUUGGGUUAGAAGUGUGCGGGCUGCUGCCGCGUGGCCGUGGUGGCUUUGUGCUUUGGGGAGGGUAGAGGAAAAUGUCCAGGAUGCCACACAAGGGGCGAGGCAUCAGGGCAGGUUUGCACAGGCUGAGUGUGCCUUAUGGAUGAGCUUGGCUGAGCACCUAGCAAGCCACACUCGCUUCAGGGCCCCAGAAAUCGCUGCUUUCUAUCCUUCCUCCCCUCUUCUGCCAUCCUGUUCUCUCGGGUGGAUGCCUUCUGGGUAGAACAGCAGCUGGCAAGGCUUGGCCAGAAUGGCUCUCAGGGGCAUUAUCACAAGGCUUGGGAUUUGGGGUGUUUGUUGCAAAAGCACGGCACCUGGAAUCAAGGGCUGCUUGGAAGCUUCAGUCUCGCUUAAAAAUAAUCAAAUGGUGCUAAUGAGAAAUGGGUUUAUGGGCAUCAUUAUUGCAGGGAAAACUCUGGAAACAUAACAAAGACAUGUUUGGGCCUGGAAUUACCAAGCUGAAGAAAGAUUCUCCAAAUCCUUGGGGUUUUUUUUUUUUUUUUAGAGUCAGCCUUAGCAAUUUUGGGUAGUCAUAUUCCUGGUAUUCAAAGCUGGAGGAUGGAAGUGUGGGAUACUUCAUAAUAUCAAACAGGGUGUGAAGGAGAGCCUGACAAAUCCAAGCACUGUGGUUUACACUGGGUUGCAUGGGGGCUGGUUUGGAUCCUGCUACUUGUACCCAUUACUCUUAGGAGUGGUCCAAGCCACUGGGUGUAGGAAAACUCGGAAGCAAAGUUCUGUAGUGUGUGCUUCCGUCUCUGAAAUGUAGUAAUUGGUAAUUGUGGUCCCAGCUGCCCUGUUCUGUAAGGGGCCAAGCAAGGGAUGCCCGUCUGUGUACAUGCCUGUGGAGGUGGUGGAGGCAAGGCUGCACAGGCACACUGCCUUCUUAAAAACUCUCUUUGGACUCAGCACUGUGCUCAGCACCAUGGAAGACUCUGCUUAAGGGCCAGAGGAGAUGCUGUCGCUGUGCUGUCCUCCUGGGGCUGUGCGGGAGCUCCCUGGGUUAAGCAGGCAUGUUCCAUCCAGGUUUCCAUCCAGAGCAGACUCGCAGGGUAACGUGCUCCUUCAGCCCAUUUGUGAUGUGUUGCAUAGGCAUCACCCUCACCCCGGUGGUCACAUGUCUGAAUGUGCUGUCAUCAGUGUGGUUUUAAAUAUAUUCUAAUGCGGAAAUGUACUGGAGCUAACCAAGAUGAAGGAAAGCUGCAGGAACAAGUCAGGACUUGUAUGGGCUGGUCCUGGGGCUUCUGAGGUUCUUUCAGGUCUGGCUUUCAGCUAACAGCACUCACUGCUCAUCUGCAGCAUUUACAGCAGUUCUGGUCCUGCACUGUCCCCAGGCUGGGCUUUUCCCGAUGGGGUGGAGCGGAGUGGAAAUGCAGAGUGCUAAUGAGCGGGUGCUAGGCUGGGACCCAUCGUGUUGCUUGUGAUCAGGCUCAUGGGUGAUGUGGCAGGGCAAUCUGGGAGCUUGGGGAGAAAGUAAAUGGCUCACGUACAUAAGUGCUGGCUGGGGAGCCCAUUAGGGCUUCCCCUGCAGAGGGAAGAUGUUACCUGCAGCUCUCUGUGUUGCUGUACGCUCUGUCUGGUGGGCUCUCACACUUCUGUCUCCUCCCAUCCCAAAUGCCAGAGGUUGAAUGAGUGCCUGUGAUUGUCGCAAGGGCUUAAAGAUGUGGUGACUCUACUCCCUAAUCCACAGCUUGCGACAUGACUUAGGGAAACAAAGGCAUGGGCUGCUUAUCUUCAUUUGUGCAAGGGCUAAUUCGCCUGCCCCGUUUGAGCAUGGGCCAUUCGGAGCUGGCUGCAGAUGCCUGCUGUAUGCGGGAUUCACAUCCGGCCCAUUGCAAAGGCAGAGCCCAGCUGCUGGGAUUGCUGGCACCUCUGCUCAUCCUGGGUCACAGAACGGUGAAUUUUCAGACCUGCAUCCUCUGAUCAGACCCAGUAAGUGUCACGCUGGCAGGCAGAGGGACACGGGGCUGUUCAAACCCUACCCUGUACCCAAUGGGACCAGCGUUAUGGCUAUGCAGAAUUACUCUGCGUUUUCUAGGCCACUUUUGAAAAUGGCUGAAAAUUUGCUUUCCUUAGCCUAAAAACUGAGCUCUCUCGUUGGUUCUGUAAGUGAUGGGCAGGGACUUGAGAUCUCCUGCGACCUGAGAGCCUGAUGAAGUUGGAAACAGCCCAGCAAGGGUGGAAAUGGGUUUUGCAGGUCGUUUUGAACGCAAUCACAUUCACUGCUGUUGUUCCCCUGAUUUGGGCACGGUGGUACCAUCCUCCCUGAUCUCCCCUCUGCUGCCUGAUGUGGGUACCACAGAGGUGCACCAGGGAGAGGGGUUUGGUGGCAGAGGGGACCUCAGGCUCCGGGGAGAAGGGGCAUCUCUGCUGACCACCGCUUGCUUUGCCAUCCAGCCCCGGGGAGGGGGAGGCUGCGUGACAGCGCGGUGGAUGCUCUCGGCAGGUCUCCUGCCUGCGGAGCCAGCGGUGACACUUUGCUGACAUGAACAGAGAGGAGAUGCUGGCGUGAGAUCCUGGUCACGUCAGCUGGGAUCAGGUACCAGGCCUGGCCAUGGCCGCCAGCAGCUGCCCUGAGUGCUGGUGAACAUGAUCCGGAGCCAAUCUCAGGGUGUUUGCUGCAUGCCUGCAGCAAGGUGCUGUCCUAAAGCUCUCUGCAGCUCUCUGCAAAUGCUGCUGGAGGGAUACCAGCGUGGAUGUGCUGGGCUUGCAGUCAGAUGACGGGUGCCAUCUUUGCAGGGUGCAGGCACAAAUGUUUCGGGAGGAUUUUCUUCCCUACGGAUGCUAUUGCUCUCCAGGGAAGAUAGGAAAACGCUGGUCCUGAAGGGAUGAGCACUGUCUGCACUUUGAUGGCAGAUGUCCCGGGAACUGUAAGGAAAAAAAGACACCCACUGAUUUUUUCAUUUCUCCCCGUUUCUGUCUGCCUAUCAGCCUGUCAGCUCGCUAGAUGCUAAUCCACAGCAGCAGCAGCACAAAUAAAGCUAGACUGGAGGGAUGCUAAUUUAUGCCUGGAUUUCAUGCUUUGUUUUACUUCCACACUUUAUUGGACGGAGUAGGCUUUGUGAGUGACGUAAAAUGUCGUGUGCGCUCUCCCCGUGGCAGGUUCCUGCACAUGCAGCAGGAGAAGUUCAUCUCUCUGUAUCGCUGCAGCUUUGCACGUGGCCUUCUCUGUCUCCCCGGGUAUUUUUUUUGGGGUGGGGGGGGGGGGGUUGCUUCUGCUGAGCUCCCAUGUGAUGAGGAACUCAUUCUAAAUUUUGUCGUGCUGCACUGAAAGCCAGGGAUGUAUUUCCAGUCUCAUCUCGCCUUCUCUGAUGGUGCCAGCAUUUAUGCAUCUAAACUGUAAUUUUUUACGCUCUAACUGGGGAACCAGACUACAGCCUCUGCAAUUUGCAUGAAUAAAUGUCAUGUAAAACCAUCUGCUCAUGGACAGUGACCAGCUGAAAAGUUAUGCUGGGAGGCAAUCCGUUCGGGAGCGAUCGGCAGAUCUAUUUAAUGAGAUGUUGAGAUUUACACGUCUCCAUGUCUGAGAGAAGGAGCGUGGGUAGAUGGAUUUAAAGGCAGGGAUAGAUAGAUUUAAGGUCACAGAAGCACUCGGAGCCUGCCAAGUCCGUCCUGCAGUGAAAGUGACCCUACCUGGGUGGUGAGGGCAGGGGAGGAGGUCUGCCAGCACUUGGAAAGGCACUGUCUUAGAAAAAGGUGAAACGUAGAGUAUGUUCAACUCAACGUUAAUAAUGAAGGGUCUUGUGUAGCUUCUUGCAAGGCUAUUGCGUGGGAUCCACUCUGUGACCCUUGGGGUCUUUGAAGGGAAGGAUCAGCUCACAUAGACGUGUGCUGAAGGAUCCUGAGGUCUUCAGCCCCCAUUAGAGGUAAAGGGAAGGAGAUGCCCACAUCUCACUGUUGGCGUGCUUAGAAGGUUGGUGCUGACCUUCCCUUCAGCCAAGACUUUGUGAGCCACGUGGCAAAUCAGUGGGUAAGGAAGGAACAGCCAGGAGAGAGCUGGUGAAGUCUUUGAAAUGGCCACGUUGGCUGGGAUCUACCAACCCGUUUUUGUGCUCAACUCCUUCGGAGCAAGGCAGGGAGGAGGGCCCAGAGGUGGCUCUUGUAGCAGGCUCUGCUCUCAGCCGUGCUGGGUUCAGUCCUAAGUGAGGAUUUAAUUGCAUUCAGUAAAAUCUGCCCAAAUUUACAGCACGGAAAUGAGAGCAGAAUUGCAAGUGUCCUUGUUUCUCAGUGCCGUCAAAUAGCUUUUCUCAGCCUUGAGUCCUGGCAAGCUAAUCUCUGUAGAGUUUUAUUUCAUAUGGUGUCUGCAUUGCCCUAUUAAAACCACAGCUCUGUUCCCAAUUCUGUACAUGUCAAGUGCGUAUCCGUGUGUAUUGGAGCAGAGGGAUGUGGCAAUAAAACUGUUCAUGACUACUUGUUUGGAUAAAAAGCACAGAUUUGCUUACUUGGCAGUAGCUUCCCCUUUUUAGCAGAAAUAUUUGCACAGCGACUUUCAUUUUGUCACAGCGGCCAUGGGAAGGAUGCUGCACUGCCACUCACGUUCCUGGGUUUGUGUGUGUGGUUUUGCUGAGGUUUGUUGGUAGCGAUGUCCAGAAAUCUCCUGCGGCAAACAAAAGAGCUCCAGGCGGUGGUUUGGCUGCAGGAGCCGCGUGAUGGGAGCUGGGCUUCCUCCAGCCCCCAGACCUCUGCCGCAGCGAGGCAGGGCUCUGUCGGGUUUGCAUCACAGCUUGUCUCCUUUCUGACUAAGCUGACGGACAGGAAUAGCUUCUUACUCCUAAGGUGCAUCUGGUUCUGGAGGCGGACGUGGGUUGUGGCAUUUGUGUUGGCAGCUUGUGCCGUGCUGCUCAGCGAGGCUCUCUUUGGGCUGCUGUCUGCUGGGAUGGGAGGGGGAACCUGUGAGCUGCACCGCACGAGAGCAUCAUAGGUGUACGGAGGUGUUCGCCUUUGUGCGGGUCUCGGAGGUCUCUUUGUUUUGUCUCCCUCCGAGUACCUUGUGCAGAUGCAUUUGCAUAUAUGGAAAACGUUGUCAUCAUCUCCUCCCCCUUCCCCGGCUCACGCCGCUCUGCCGACUCGUGGGCAUUUCCAGCUGAACGAUGCUGCCGAGCCCAGCCAAGCAUGUGGGGCUGGGGGCUAAGCCCUGUCUGCUGCUUCCUUCCCCAGAGGGCGGUGGGGCGGUUGGGGGGCGGUCGGGACAUCAGGGGCGGUUUUUCUUAAUUUUCUCUGACUCGCCGUAGGAAGGUGGUCGGGUCCCGAAGGGGGGCUGUUCCCUCAGCCCCCAGCCCUGACCCCCUCUGCUCCCUCCCUCCAUUCUCACGCUGGCAGCGGCACUGCAGAAAGCAUCCAAACCGCUCUGCCAGUCUAAUCCAAGUUCAAACCAUUUGCGUCCCUAUCCAGAAAGCCUGGGAGCGGUCCCCUGGCAAAUCCCUCGCUCCACCGGCCGCCAUUCACCCCCACAAAGACGUCCCGUACAGGACAUAUUCAGUCCCUAAUCCUCUCUAAGGUGCUGCAGGCUCUUCUCUUCCCAAACCCACACCUGCUCCGGGAACUCGAACACUCCGAGGUUCGUCUCCGUGCUCCGCGGCCUCUACGGGGACAGGCUGGGCCAUCGGAGAAAGGGGGUGGAGGAGAGCUGGGGCAGCUGCGGGGCUUGUGUUAGUAAACACUUCCUUGGGUUCACAUUUUAAUUCCUUGCCCCCCUCCCCAUCUUCUCCCCCAUCCUUUCCCUUUUCUGUACGCUCACACAAUGAGACCAUUGUCAAGGGGUGAUUUGAAUGAGGGGUCUCCGGGCAUGUUCCCAGCAUUGUCAAACAGAGUGGGAAAAAAACCACAACUCCAGCCCAGCCAGGAGGACCGGACCAGACUGAGACAGAUGCCUAAAUUAGUGACAAAGCCUUUUGAAUGUCCCCCCUAGACAAGGGUUGCCUUGUGCGUGUGUGCGUGUGUGUGUGCAUGCUCGUGGGUGUGUAUUUGUGGCUGGGUGGCAGCUUGCAUGUCUCCCCAUGUUAAUUAGUUUUGCAUGCAUGUCUGAUAAGGUGCCAAUGAAUAUAUUUGUCCUUCCAUUGGCGAAAGCUGUCUCGGCAGCAGGGGAGAUGCGGGGCGCUGGGGGUGUGCUCAGAGCAGCCCGGGGUAAUUGAGCUGUGCGGGGCUGGAGGAGAAGGGCUGAGAGCCCGGUGCAUCAGCGGGGCCGGGCUUCCCAGCCAUGGGUCGGCUGCCUUCUUUGCAAAUUGCAGAGAGUUUAAAAGAGAACUGAAGCUUUUUUUUGGUUCACUGGGUCUUUCUGUUCGUCUUUACUGAUUGUCUGGCUGAGGGUCUGUGGGCUCUUUCUUCUCCUUUGCCCUGUGUCUCUCUCUCAAGUCCCUUAAAAGGUGUUUAUUUCCAAUGGGUUUGUAUCCAUCUUUGUAUGUACACAUACACAUGCAAUCACUCACACAAAGCCCCAACAACAAAACCUCAGCCUGCUUCUCCAGCGAGGCAGCCGGAUCCACUGCCAGCUACAAAGCAUGGGAAGGAGCGGAGCUGGGGUGUGCAGGGCAUGGAGCAGUGGGAACAGGAGCUGGAGAGACAAAGGGAGCGGUGCUACCGAGGAUUUAUCAGCAUUUGUUCAGAACAGAGUUAUUAAUUGCAAAGAUAAAAGUCUUUCCACUUCCCCAGCAUAUGGACCGGCACGUAGUGUCAUUCCUAGAGUGCAUCCAUCCGUCCGUCCGUCCGUCUGUCCAUCCAUGCACCCACCCACCUGCAUUCUUCAGAUUCACGCAAGAAUCUAUAGGAUGUAGGGAUGUUAACACCCAUUCACGUCUGCUUAAUUAUUUUUUUGCAUCUUUCCACUUAAACCAACGAGACUCAAGAGCCAACAUACGUUUAUUGAGCAAGAAGCUCUAGAAUGGCCAGAGAUGCCUUCCCUCCCCGUGCCCCCCUCUGCUGCUGAGCAGCUGCUGUGCUGAAAGAGCAGGGAAUUACAUGGCUGAGCAGCGAUUGCCACAGGGCUGCUCUGAAGCGAAGGUCAUUUGGGGAAGUUUUGCUGCAUGCAGGGUUUGGUGGCUUUGCUUUCUCUUCUAUGCUGGGUUCCCUGCAUGGGUGCUGGGGGUGUGGAGAGCAGCGGGGCUGGUUCUGGUUGGGAGAUGGCUUGGUUGGAGCAGCAGAGCAUAGGGCAAGUACCUCAAAUCAAAGAAUCGUAGACUAGCCCGAGUAGGAAGGGGCCCAUAAGGAUCAUCGAGGCCUCCCUGCUGUUGGAGCAAUAGGCACGGUGGGCAACUCAAAGCACUCAUGGGGAGCGUGCAGGAAAAAAGGACCCCCAAGAAACGCAGGUUGGAGAACAAAGGCAAUUUCGUGUGGCUUAUCAGCAGUGCCUAAUUGCGCAGGGUGAAUAAUGAGCAGUGGGGGAGGCAGCUCUGCUGUCCUCCUGACAGGCUGCAGCCCGUGUCUGGAGAGCCCGAGUCAGUGCCAGCACGUGGUGGGGGUCCUCAGAGAGGGCCAGCCCCAUCCUCUGCAUCUGUGCCCCUUUCAGAGCUGCUGGGCUCCUCUGUCGCAAAGCCUUUGUGUUAACCCCACAUCGUAGAAUCGUAGGAUCGUGGAAUCAUGGAAUCACAGAAUGGCUUGGGUUGGAGGGGACUUUAAAGAUCAUCCAGUUCCAAGCCCCUGCAGUGGGCAGGGUUGCCAGUCACUGUAAACCAAAGGGGGAUGUGCCAUUGGAAGAGGUCACUAUGCGAGUGCUUGGACCUGUCGUUGGCUCGUGGGGUGCGCGCGUUAUCCACAGCUGACCCUGGUGCAACACGGCCUUUAAUCAGAAGAACUGGGAAAUGGCCCACAGGCCCUCUGCAGACCCCUCCAGUCCAUCUCCCACCCCUCCGCCCCACUCCAUGCAUCCCACCGCUCCCUCAUUCUGCUCCCAACCCCACGCAGGGCCAUGGAAACCGCUUUGUCAGAGCUCCGUGCCAGCCCGAUCUGCAGAAGGGCUUUUUUUUUCCCCUGUUGGGAUGACUAUUCCCACACAAGCAAAGCCUCUUAAUGAAUCCGUGGCAGCAAAGUAGGUGAGGCGCUCGCCCUGCCAAGGCUGCUUGGCACGGCUGGAGUCACGUAAUCACGCUCAGCUGCCAGCGGGGACAGAGCAGGAAGAGUUAACGUGGGGACAGCGUGGGGACAACUAAUCCCAGCAGGACGGGUGGCACAGACCUGUCCUUCCUCACCUCCCCCUCACCGCAGCCCACCUCUUCCUCUCCCACCUCCUCCCUUCACUCAUUUCUCCCAUCUCCAUCACAUUGUCACUCCUCCCCCGGCCCCUCCCGUGCCCCGCUCUCUCCAUCCAGCACGUUCCCCUCCCGCACUCUCCGAGUGGGAGCGAGGGGCCGUGCGUUUGGGCUGCGGUGGAGGUCACAGCUAUAUGGGGAUUGUUUAAAAGAGAUUUGCCCACAUCCCAGCCCAUGUGACCAGCCUCAGCUGCAGGUCUCUCUUUCUUAAUCUGGAGAUAAGCGUGAUUAUCCGAAGAAGGGCUGUUCGGAGCUUUGUAACUGUGACAGGGGAGCUUUCAAGUCGCACUUUGCUGGCAGAGCAGCGUUUAAAGCCGGGGAAUCAGAUUCCAAGCGUGGCUUUGCAUCUCUUUGCUGCUGGGAGCAUGGCGCGGGGCUGGCAGCAGGGAUGGGAGCUUUAUUAGGACUUUGCUUAUGAUGCGGAAAAGGAACCGGGGGAGGGAAAUGAGGGGAAAAAAAAUCCCAAUUCACCGUUUCCCGAUCGGUGGUGGAAUUACAGCAAUGCUCUGCUUCCAGGAGGGCGGUGGGGUCCCAUUGGCCUCACGUCUGGGGAGCAGUUCAGUGGCCAGGAGGUUCUGCUGCUUUCGGUGCCAUGCAGCGCGGGCAUGUUGUGUCUCUCUGCUCUGAGUCCCCAUCCUCGUUGCACAAGAGGUCCCCUGGGUCCUGUUUGGAAAUGAAAUGCUUGUGGCAGCUGGGGAUGCUGUGCCUGGCUGUCCCCAGGACCCCAUUCACAUCAAGGCUUGCUGGAGGUGCGUCUUGGUGGGAUGCGGGGAUGUGGCAAUCGUGUGGUUUCAUGUUGUGUCUUGCCAUCUCAUACCAUGGGCACAGCCCCCAAAGGCUUCUUGCGCCAGGACAGGCAUCAAAAUAGGGUUUAGUGGAAAUGUUCCGCCGUAGAGCAGGCGCUUCUCUGCUUCUAUUUGUAGAAUAAAAACUCCAAGCAGAGACUCAUCACUGCGUCUCUUUUGAUGGAGAUGGGUCAAGGAGAAAGAAACCUGGAUCUAAGCCAGGGGCUGGAAUCUGGGUCGAGGCUGAAUGAGGACUGAGUGCCAGCAGUGCUCCGUCCCGUCACUCGGGCAGCACUCACUGUUCUUGCUGUAUCCUCCUUGGAAGGGGUUCAGCUUCAGGCCAGCCUGAUCCAAAGGGCACCUGAACAAUUCCCUCCUGCUCACAGCCGCUCAUUGCUAGAGCUAGUGUGAAUCUGCAGCCCCUUCUCCUGGGUUUAUUUGAGGGGAGCGGUUUCUUGCUUGUGUCUCGUGAUACAGAAGGAGAUCAGAUGUCCUUCUCUCUUUUCCAUGAAGGCACAUCCUCUCUUUGCAUACCUUGGCCAUGGUGGGCGUCCAGCCCUAAAGCAGCCCAGGUGAGAAGUGGGGCAGGACGCAUACAGGGGUGGAGAUGUGGGUCCGUGGGGCUGGCGGCUCACUGUCCAUCCAGCAGUUGCAGGAGGGAAGUGGUUGCAAAUACAUCAUCUUGAGCGUGAGCUCUGCGCUGUCUCCUACAUGGUCUGCUGUCCCUGGAGCCCCACACAGCUGGUCUGUGGGAGGGAGCUCUGUUUUCCUUGUACCCCUGUGAACUUGAUUUUUUGUUAUUUUUCUCUGCGUGCCGCUUACAUGAAUCCUCUUCAGUGCCUACAGCUUAUUCUGUGGCUUUACCGAGGAUCUGGCCAACAUAUGUAGCCUCCCUCCAGGGCACGGCUCUUUGAGAAGCUCCAAGCUGGACACAGCAUGUUUUCCCAGUGGCUGCGGGGCUGAGCAGCCCAAAUCCCGCAUUGCACAGAUCCUACACGUGUCCUGGGUGGGGGAGAAGCAGAACUCCCCCCACUCCUGGCAGCCUGGGAGCAGCAGAGGGAACGUGGGCAGGAGCACGGAGGUGUUGGCGGGUGCGGGUAGGAACACACGUGUGCUGGGACAGCCGUGCCCAUCUGCACCAGCACGGUCACACGUGUGCCUGCGUGGCAGACCGUCCCCAUGCCCCUCACCUGCCUGAAUCUGUGGGGUACAGGGGGAGAAUGGAGGCAUCCCUUUUAAGAGCCUUUUAAAUGGAAUUGGAUCUCUAAGAGAAAGGGUUGAAUUGAUUGCAAGGGUUGAUUGAUCUGCUGGAUGUUUCUGCCAGCUUUCCGGGCAUGCACAGGCUCAGAAUUGCCAAGGUGGGAAGGAAUUGACAAGCACUGCUGUGUCAAAGCAGGACAUAAAGAACUAGAAGCCACGUCCCCAGCUCGCCCCAGCCUGGCACUGGGAAACAUCUCCAUUCUGCAACCCGCCGGGGCUAGCUCUUCACCAGCACUGACUUUGCCUCCUCCUAUUUGCACAUCCCCAGCACAUUUCUGUCUUGCCCUGACAGUGGGAUGGGAUGGCCAGGGACAGACAGACAGCAGAGCCCAGGCACACCAGGACCCGAGCAGCCCUGUGUGGAGAGCUUCUUAUGGGCUGAGGGUGGAUGGAGGGAUGUGAGGUGGGGUGAUGCUGCAUAGAGCAGGGCAGGUGGGUCUCGAUGGAAGCGACUGAGAGAUUUGAGAGGUGUGAACAGGAUGGAGGGGACCAAGCUGGGGCUGCAGAGGGUGGUUCCCAAAGGUGAGCUGAGGCCAGCAGCCAGAGCAGGGUUUGGCAGAGAGCAAGGGGAGCUGUGGAGGAGUGUGGUCAUGCCAUGAGGAGUGCGAGAGCUGCUGCAGGGCUGCAGGAGGUGCUGACACAGGAGUGACACACAGCUGUGUCACCUGAGUGUCCCCUGUCAUGGCGUGGGGCAGUUCCAGGCUUUGCUUUGUUGCUGUUGCUCAGAGCCAUUUGCUACAAAGCCCUCAGCACCUCGGUGCAUGAGUCUACUUUUAGUGACGCAUAAAAACCAAAAGAUUUGACAAAAAAUAUAUAUAUAUAUAUAACUUUUUUUUACUCUUGCCACCUCAUUGCCAUAGUAACAGAGGUCCUGAGGACACCUCCAUGAAGUAGGUCACCGCAGACCCCUGUUUGCUGCUGCUCACAGCCAGCACUGGGCAUCCCCAAUGGUGCGAGCAUGGCUGGGCCGGAGAGGUACCCUGCAGUGGGGUACCCCAUGGCCAUGCCCUGGUGAGGACACCGUGACAUCACCCAGGUGCCAUCGAGGGCCGUCCCACGCCCGGACACCGAUCGUGGGAAACUGCCGUCCCUCCUGUUGGUGUCCCCAAGUCAGGGCUCCCUCCCAUCCCCCUCUGCCUCCCUCCCCCCUUUCACUGGAGCCUCUCUCCUCCUGAUUUGCAUAAUUUUCCAUUUUCAGUGUCCCCUUUUCUUUUUCUCCUCUCCAUAUGGUGCGUCCCCCUCUCUGCCUGGUGCAGGAGCCCUCCUUAACAAGCUCAGCAAAGCCCUCUCUCUCAGGGGCUGCACAUGAAAGAUGCUCUGUAAAAACAGAGGCCGGCAAGGAGCCCUCCCCCUCUCCCCCUUGAUUUAUAAGGGGCCGGGAUGUGGGAACGUUCCUGGGUCGUGCUUUGGAGCCGUCGGGUGUUUGCAGCCGUCUGCAGUGCCUGUUUGCUCCAUCCAUUCAGUGCAGACCCCUACGGCUGGCGCUCCCCGCGUCUUUCAUCUGCAAUGCAAAAAGAGUGGUGGGGAAAGUUGGUGCCUCUCCUGCGUGUCCCAGGCUUUGCUUUCAGCUGCUGAGGGAUGCUCUGUGCCUGCUGCGCCGGGGUUGGGCUGCGCCCUUGCUGCUGCUGCUUCCCCACCUGGGACACAGGUGACGAAAGUGGCACAAAUGAAACAAGUGACACCGGUGGCACGCGUGGCACGAGUGACACGGCUGGCACAAGCUCCACGAUCAAGCAGCGUUCGCCAUUCGUUCACCAUUCAUCAUCUUCUCCAUCCCAGCCUGGGCUUUCCCACCACCCCGCGGAGCUCCAUCCCCAGCAGCCCCACGGCAGUGUCUGUGUACAAACCCCACUGCCACCCCACUGCCACCCACAGGGAUCCCACCAGUGCCGUGCUGCCGGGCAGAGGGUGCCAGCCCAGCAUUUGACGGGUUAAGCCGGUCUCCAGCUAAUUUCUCCCAGCGCUCCCCUCCUCCUCACGCUUCUGUAUGCAGCAGGCAGGGCCUCCGCGCAGGUUCCUGCACUGAGCUGUUGCCAGGGGAGUAGUUAGGCGAGUCUGAGCUAUGCGGGGAAAAGGCCCGGGCUGUCAAAGUGUCUGAGAUGAACCAUAGCCCGGUCCCCCUGCAGCUGGGCCCAAGCAUGCAUCAGCCCUUGUUUGGAGCCUGGGAAUGGCAAAGCCCAGGGAGGUUCAAGGGCAAACUUGCUAUUCAUUAGUCAGGGGUCCUUGACGUUCCCACUCUCUGUCUCCCUUCUUCUUCUUCUUCUCUUUUCUGUCCCUCUUUUGACAGAUUCCUGGGUGCUUUGGGGGAAAGCUCCCCUCCUCCUCCUCCUCCUCGCCCCGCCAAAAGCCCUCCCCAUAAAAUUCCCUGCAGACAGGCGGGGGGACAACAAUGACGGCACCGAGAGCCGCAUCCCGCGGGCAUCCUCUGCCCCCCGGUGCCGUGCACGAUGCACUCUCUCCACGCGAGCUGCACAUCUCCCAUGUUUUAUCACUGUGAUGCUCACAGGAAAUUGUAACUUGAGAUAAGAAAAUGUCAGCAGCAUUCUCCUCUCACUGAGCCCAAAGCGCCAUGAAGUUCCUCUAUAGGAAAUGCAACCACGUGCCCAGGCCCCUGGAGCAGAACGGAGGUGUAAUGCUGAGGAGCUGCAGGGCAGAGCACAGCUUUGGUCACUUUGGAGUUGGAGAUCUUGAGCCGGGGAGGAGAUCCCAGUGAGGGGAGAAGGGAUGUCCCCAGCCUGACAGCUCCUUCCUGGCUGCGCUCUGCCCGCUCUCUGCCCGAUGUCUCCGGGAUUCUCCAGGAGGGACCCAACCUGCCGUGGCCCCAGCAAGAGGCAGCAUUGGCUGCUGGACGUGGAGGGGUUCUGCAUUGCUUCGCACCUGUGGGGAGGGAGCCAGGGGAUGGGGAGCCUGGCAAAAAUCCCGUGUAACUCCUGUAUGUCACCUCCAGGACCCAAAUACCCCUGGGCAGAGAGGUGUGAGCACCGUCCCAGCUGGGUGUGGGGAUGUUGGUGGGAGCAGGAGGGAGGUCUGAGUGGGAUGGAUGCCAUGUUAAGGGGCUCUGCUCAUGGAGCAGAGCUUGGCCUACGCUGUGCGUGUGUGCGUGAUGGACUGAGCGUGGGCUGACCACGCCUGGUCCAGGCGGUGUUCCAUUGCACUGUAAGAAAAAAGCACUGUAAUUCCUCCCUAAUUAAAAUCAACCCCACCCCGUGCACUGUUGCAAAUAAACACUCCUUUCUGCAAAAGCGAG